Molecule: ribosomal RNA, 389 nt
Filed under: uncultured bacterium
Lineage: Bacteria
Description: bacterial SSU rRNA
Rfam family: Bacterial small subunit ribosomal RNA
Source: RNAcentral
AUUGAACGCUGGCGGCAUGCCUUACACAUGCAAGUCGAACGGCAGCACGGGAGCAAUCCUGGUGGCGAGUGGCGAACGGGUGAGUAAUAUAUCGGAACGUGCCCAGUCGUGGGGGAUAACGUAGCGAAAGCUACGCUAAUACCGCAUACGAUCUACGGAUGAAAGCGGGGGAUCGCAAGACCUCGCGCGAUUGGAGCGGCCGAUAUCAGAUUAGGUAGUUGGUGAGGUAAAGGCUCACCAAGCCGACGAUCUGUAGCUGGUCUGAGAGGACGACCAGCCACACUGGGACUGAGACACGGCCCAGACUCCUACGGGAGGCAGCAGUGGGGAAUUUUGGACAAUGGGCGCAAGCCUGAUCCAGCAAUGCCGCGUGCAGGAUGAAGGCCUUC